GUUACAAACUCCUAAGCUAUUAAUGGAUGAGGAUAUUACAUGUACUAGAUAAAAGCGAACAUAAACUGAAGGAAAGCCAAAAGAAGAUAAAUGAAGAAAUCAUCGUUUAGGGAUGUAUUGUCUGUUUGCUGUUUCGUGGUACUAGUAAUAGUAGAGAUAUCGAUGAUGCAUAAUAAUCAUUUCUUUGGUUAUGGAGUAGCAGACAACUGCGCCGAGGUCCUCUCCACUUACCACCGUCCAUCGGCAAGUUUCAUCCAAGUGAAACAAUACUUGGACAUCCGCUCAAGAAAGCUGAUUAGUGGCAGAAGGAAGUUAGUGGAACCGCCGAAGACAGGAGACCCACCUCCCCGUUCUAAUCCGCCAGGGCCCGUGAGUGCUCCCGUGGACAGGUGAACUCUCCCAUGAUUAGUCUUGAGUGUAUUAUGUACAUGUCGGUCUCUUGGGGUGCAAAUUACUAGAAACCAGAGGCAUGCACACCUAAUAAUGCUUGUUAGAUUGAAUAGAGUGGGCUUUCAAUUUUACAGAAAAGCAUGCGCGUACCCAUUUUUAACAUUGUAUCCAAGUACUUAGUUGUUGCUUUAUUUAUUUUUGCAUGUUGAAUUGUUUCAUUUUCUAA
This is a long non-coding RNA of Papaver somniferum (opium poppy), 616 nucleotides long. RefSeq lists it as uncharacterized. The record is from RefSeq and is a predicted model, not a curated record. The transcript is spliced from 2 exons. Lineage: Eukaryota; Viridiplantae; Streptophyta; Magnoliopsida; Ranunculales; Papaveraceae.